GACGAACGCUGGCGGCGUGCUUAACACAUGCAAGUCGAACGGUAUGGCCCUUCGGGGUACACGAGUGGCGAACGGGUGAGUAACACGUGGGUGAUCUGCCCUGCACUUCGGGACAAGCCUGGGAUACUGGGUCUAAUACCGGAUAGGACCACUGCCUGCAUGGGUGGUGGUGGAAAGCUUUUGCGGUGUGGGAUGGGCCCGCGGCCUAUCAGCUUGUUGGUGGGGUGAUGGCCUACCAAGGCGACGACGGGUAGCCGGCCUGAGAGGGUGACCGGCCACACUGGGACUGAGAUACUGCCCAGACUCCUACGGGAGGCAGCAGUGGGGAAUAUUGCACAAUGGGCGCAAGCCUGAUGCAGCGACGCCGCGUGAGGGAUGACGGCCUUCGGGUUGUAAACCUCUUUCAGCACCGACGAAGCGCAAGUGACGGUAGGUGCAGAAGAAGGACCGGCCAACUACGUGCCAGCCGCCGCGGUAA
This 478-nucleotide ribosomal RNA is filed under the name uncultured bacterium. Its description in RNAcentral is "partial 16S ribosomal RNA". It matches the Rfam family "Bacterial small subunit ribosomal RNA", at positions 28 to 523 of the family's 1533-position model. The record is from RNAcentral.